CCCCAGAUAACUUAAAGUAAGUGUAGAUCUUUUAAAUCUACUAUAGUAUAUUCACGCCUACUUCUGGUGA
This 70-nucleotide transfer RNA is filed under the name Macrophthalmus japonicus. Its description in RNAcentral is "tRNA-Lys". The record is from RNAcentral. Lineage: Eukaryota; Metazoa; Arthropoda; Malacostraca; Decapoda; Macrophthalmidae.